GACGAACGCUGGCGGCGUGCUUAACACAUGCAAGUCGAACGGAAAGGCCUGCUUUCCCUUGUGGAUUGCGGGUACUCGAGUGGCGAACGGGUGAGUAACACGUGAGUGAUCUGCCCCCACCUUGGGUAUAAGCCUGGGAAACUGGGUCUAAUUCCCGAUAGGACUGCAGGGUGGUGCCUGUGGUGGACAACGAUUUUCUCGUGGUUGGGGAUGGGCUCGCGGCCUAUCAGCUGGGUGGCGGGGUAAUGGCCUACCACGGCGGCGACGGGUAGCCGGCCUGGGAGGGUGGAAGGGCAAAUGAGGACUGGGACACGGCCCAGAGGGCGGCGGGAGGCAGCAGUGGGGAAUAUUGGACAAUGGGCUGAAGCAUGAUGCAGGGACGCGGCGUGGAGGAUGACGGACUGCGGAGUGUAAACUCCUGUCGGCCGCGAGGAAGCCACCUGGUUGGAAGGGUGGUGACGGUAGUGGUAGAAGAAGCACCGGCUAACUACGU
This 493-nucleotide ribosomal RNA is filed under the name uncultured bacterium. Its description in RNAcentral is "partial 16S ribosomal RNA". It matches the Rfam family "Bacterial small subunit ribosomal RNA", at positions 28 to 506 of the family's 1533-position model. The record is from RNAcentral.